CCAAAUCAAAAUCAAAAGUUUAUCUUCCUCACAAUAUUUCUCUCUCUAAAAACCCAAGAAGAAGAAGAAGAGGGAAAUAGAAGCUUGGGAUUGAAGAAAUCAAGGGUUUUUCAUCAAACUCUUCAAGGAUUCAUCAUCAACGUAUGGUAGUUUACAUCUUUGGGUAGAUUCCACCCAUAUAUCCCCUUCAAAAAUAGAUUUUAAAACUUACAAAUUUCCCCAAAUUAAGGAUGUUAUUCAAGUGACUUGUGUUAUUUAUAGAAAUGGUUUCAAGGUUUGAAUUAUGUUGGGUUAUGACUAAAUUUAUUAUCUAUGGUUGGAUUAUGGUGAAAUUAUCCCAAGAACCCAUGGAUCCCUUAUAUUGCUAAAUUGUGAUCUUAAUGUGGAUUAAUUGAUUUUAGAAACAUGUAAAUUGGUCUUGUAUGAAUUUAUUGAAUUAUAUUAUAACCAUAUCUAAUGUAGAAAUUCUAGAUGUUGGGUUGAAUAUGAUUCAAGAUUCUUGAAGGGUAAAUUAUGAGAAUAAAGAUUCUAAUACUUUGGUGUAAUUAUGGUGUUGAUUAAAAGAUCAUUCUCCCCUAUACACUUACACAUUAUUAUGCAUGAAUUAAUUAUGACUGUGAUGAUCUUGUUGUGAUUGAUUGAAAGUCCAUGUAAAUGGUUUUUGUUAAUAUUGAUUGAAUUAAUUGAAUCAUACUAUUACCAUGACUGAAUUGUAGUAAUUGUAGGUGUGUUGGUGAAUUAUGAUUUAUGGUCUUUUAUGGACAAACUAUGAGAUUUUGUAUAAUCAUUAUGCUUAUGUACACGCUUUGUGGAGAUAUUGAAAGUAAUGAUAUCAUGACUAUAAUGUAAUUAUGUGUUAUUGAAAGGUUAUUCUCAACUAUACACUUGUGAAUGAAGAUGACGUGUUGUAAAAGGGUUUUCUCAAUGUAUAUUGUACCAUGAAUCGGUAGUAUUAGGGUAUCCUCUUCAUGUGUAAUUUAAAGUGAUCUUGAUUAAAAUACCUUGAAUUGGUAGCUAGGCUUAGGGCAUCCUCUUCUUGUAUAACUAACAGGAUCUUCACUUAAUGAUUGAUGAAGUAAUCUAAGGUUUUAUCUUGAAUUGAUAGGUCAAUGGAAUUGCUUUCAUGAUGUUAUGAUGAUCCUUGAAUCGGUAGGCCUAAGGUAAAUUUCAUGAGCAACAAAUAAUGAACCUUGAAUUGAUAGACCAAUGGUACCCUUUUCAUUAGGAUUUAAUGAGAUAUCCUAAUAAUUUACCUUGAAUUAGUAGGCUAACGAUACCCUUUCAUGUGUGUAAUAAUGUACCUUGGGUCGGUAGGCCAAUGGAUUCCCUCUUAUGUGUAAUGAUGUUAAAAGAGAAUGGACUACUUUGUGGGAAUUUAAUGGUUAGCACCAACUGAAUAUUGUAAGGUAGAAGCUCACCUUAUGUUAGGUCGGGUUUCAAGUAAUACCUUCCUUAUUCUUGAACUAUGUGCCCACAUUGGUUAUAGCUAGUGGAUCCACCUAGGCUAUUAAACAUGAUUUCUACCUUAGGCAAGUAGGACACUUUUUUCCGGUGUGAGGGCAUGACUGUGGAUUCUAUGUAACUCACAUGGUCUAUGUCGGUUAAGGUUAUUUCCCUACAUUACAAGAAUAUGAAUUAUGACAAGAACAUGAACAUGAACUACAACUAUGGAUUCUUAAACAAUUUUACUUAGUAUGAGUUGGGGUAUGAGACCGUUAAUGCAUUGCACAAGUAGGCUUUAAAAGUGGUUGUAAUGUAGUUCUCUUGUGCUAUGAAUACCUAUGAAUUACGCAUGUAUGAUAUUUAUUGUUGCUAAUGGUGACUUUACUUGCUACAAGUUAUGAACAUGAAUGUUUCCUUGUCAAUGAGUAUUGGCUAUGGAUGAGUCCAAGGUAUAAUAUGAAUGAUUAGGGUGGCCUAUAAGUGGUACUUAGCAUAAGGCAGGAUUAUGAGAUCUUACCUAUGCAGAGCACAAGUAUAGCUUGGGGUUUGUUAUGAGAUGAUCAAAAUUAUGUUUCUUCAAAAAUGUACAUGAUGACGUUUAAACUUGAUAAAAAUGCAUGGUUUCAACUAAAUGUCCCUUUUGAAUAUGUUUUAAGGAUUUUUAUGCAUGACUACCAUACUUAAUGCAUUUUUGUACUAACCCAUAUUUUCUAUAUUUUCCUAUAAGUGUAGGUCCCAUUCGUUGAGUUGUACUUCUUUUUUUGGGUAAAUCUUUGAUUGAUUCUCUCCAUGCUUUUGGUGAGUCCUCAUGGUUCGAGGAUGGAAGUUUUUCAUUUCUAGUUCCAUCAACUUUUCUUUUAAGACUAUGUUGUAAAGGCUUGUGACCCUUAUUGAUAUUCAAUUUUAUCAUAUGGUAUAUUGAUACAAUGUCUAUACUUUCAUUUGGAUUUAUGGAAAUACUUCAAUUGUAAAAAGCUUUUAAUUCUGCAC
RNAcentral lists this long non-coding RNA (2433 nucleotides) under Solanum lycopersicum (tomato). RNAcentral's name for it is "long non-coding RNA (SLYC_LNC000678)". Lineage: Eukaryota; Viridiplantae; Streptophyta; Magnoliopsida; Solanales; Solanaceae. The record is from RNAcentral.